RNAcentral lists this long non-coding RNA (370 nucleotides) under Gossypium barbadense (sea-island cotton). RNAcentral's name for it is "long non-coding RNA (GBAR_LNC002535)". Lineage: Eukaryota; Viridiplantae; Streptophyta; Magnoliopsida; Malvales; Malvaceae. The record is from RNAcentral.
UGGGUUUCAUUAAUAAAAGCAGACAAGGAGCAAAUAAGCCUCGAUACAAUAAAAGUAAAGCUGCCAGAGUGAAUGAACAGAGAAACUGAAACGUAAAAACCACAAAGCAACAGCACACAGGAGCUAGAAGCCUGAAAAAGAAAGCCAGUCUCAGCGAGAUUAAAAUAACAACACCCAGGCCAAGCAUUCCAGUACUGUCCAGGUUCAGCCCCCGCUCGCUCUACAAACUGAAGAAGAAAAACAAGAAGAAUCGAGCAAGAACACUGUCGUCUGAUCUAGUCGAAGUCAGCACCACUUGCAUUAGCCACCUCCGCUACUUCUUCAAUCCAGUAGCAGUCCCUCGUAAAAUCCCUAAAAAUUAUUAUGUUCA